RNAcentral lists this ribosomal RNA (632 nucleotides) under Chryseobacterium sediminis. Its description in RNAcentral is "bacterial SSU rRNA". It matches the Rfam family "Bacterial small subunit ribosomal RNA", at positions 115 to 746 of the family's 1533-position model. Lineage: Bacteria; Pseudomonadati; Bacteroidota; Flavobacteriia; Flavobacteriales; Weeksellaceae. The record is from RNAcentral.
ACGUGUGCAACCUGCCUUUAUCUGGGGGAUAGCCUUUCGAAAGGAAGAUUAAUACCCCAUAAUAUAUUUGUCGGCAUCGAUGGAUAUUGAAAACUCCGGUGGAUAGAGAUGGGCACGCGCAAGAUUAGAUAGUUGGUGAGGUAACGGCUCACCAAGUCUACGAUCUUUAGGGGGCCUGAGAGGGUGAUCCCCCACACUGGUACUGAGACACGGACCAGACUCCUACGGGAGGCAGCAGUGAGGAAUAUUGGACAAUGGGUGAGAGCCUGAUCCAGCCAUCCCGCGUGAAGGACGACGGCCCUAUGGGUUGUAAACUUCUUUUGUAUAGGGAUAAACCUACCCUCGUGAGGGUAGCUGAAGGUACUAUACGAAUAAGCACCGGCUAACUCCGUGCCAGCAGCCGCGGUAAUACGGAGGGUGCAAGCGUUAUCCGGAUUUAUUGGGUUUAAAGGGUCCGUAGGCGGAUCUGUAAGUCAGUGGUGAAAUCUCACAGCUUAACUGUGAAACUGCCAUUGAUACUGCAGGUCUUGAGUGUUAUUGAAGUAGCUGGAAUAAGUAGUGUAGCGGUGAAAUGCAUAGAUAUUACUUAGAACACCAAUUGCGAAGGCAGGUUACUAAGCAACAACUGACGC